UUAUGGAACGGAGUGAGUACCUAAGUUUACAAUUAACACUAGUAAACGUGCACAAGACACGUAUGGGCAAAUAUACUACCUUCGUACCAAAACAUAAGACAUUUUUAGGCUAAAAUAGCCUACCAAUAUGUCUUAUAUGUGGUACGGAGCUAAUCUCUAUUUUUAAUGGAGCAGUUGGUAGUCUCCGCCGGUCAAUUUUCGUCCCACCUCCGCUGUUUUUUUUUCGUCCUAAAAAAGUCUACGAAAUAUAACCUACGAAAUUUAACCAGAGACAACUAUGACUAGCAAACAAAAAAUCGGACGACGCCCUAGCCUCCCUCGCACGAAAAAAAACCCUCCUCUCGAUCCACCCCUGGCGCUGCGCCCAUCUCUCGCUCCGCCGCCGCCGCUGCCGCCCCUGCUUCCCUCCUGCUCAGCCACCUCCACCGCUCCCACCCUUCUCCCCAUUAUCAGAUCCGCUUGCUCGUCAAGGUUAGGCGGCGAAGCUCCACGUCCGCGAAGCGCACGUGCUCGUCAAGGAAGCGGCUCCCGGAUCUGAGAUCGCGCGGCCGUGACGGAAGGGGCUCGAGGUGGCCGCCGAAGACCAAGCCGUUCACGCAAGCCUUGGACACGAUCCUCCCGACGCAUGCACUCCUCACGUCAUCGCGCUGCCGUUCUCUUCUUCUCUCCGAUCUCCUCGCCCUGCCUGACGACGCCGAGGCCCUCCGAGGUCCAGGUCGCUGUGCGGCGUGCACCGUGAGCCCUCAACUAGCGCGCGUGUGGCCACUGCAUCAGGUAACAACCUCCACCACAACUCCACAAGCCCCAUUGCAAGUUUGUUUUUUCAUCAUGUGCUCAAGACUGAAAGAAUUCUGUUGUAUUUAGGGCAUGUACGGUUGUGCCAGUAAAGCUAUUUGAUAUAUGCCACUAUAGAACUACUAUCAGCCUUUUCAUGUCCCUGCAAAAGGGGUUUGCAUUAUGUAUGUUCUUGUUGUACAUCAAUGAGAAUAGCAAGAACAGCAGAGGAAUCGAUGGCAAAAAUAAGGAGCGACAUUCUUAUUAUUUCAAAGGAAGGCAUCAAGUAGAUUUAGAUUCAUGUGAGUUUUUGGAACUAAAGCAUCAUACAACGUAUGAUGAUCUAAUUAUAUUCACAAGUAAUUUCUUUAUGAACAGGUAGAAUGACUAUGGGAAGAUUAUCUUUUGAGGUAGUAUGCCAACCUUAUUCAUGUACUUUUGUGCUAAGAAGUUUGCAUUAGUGGUAUAUUUUCCAUACAAUUUUUAGAGCCGCUCCUCUCCCCUCCCUGGCCGGAGGAAUCCCCACAUCCCCAAGCUCGACGGGCUUGCCAGACGACUGAUUGAGGUCCUCGCCAUAGCCACUCACACGGCCGAUGAGUCCCGUAGGCUGCCGAUGUCACCAACCGUCGCGCGCCGCCGGUCUGCCUAGGCCACUGCCAGCUGCGGGCGGCCAGCUGGGUCGAACUCCAUGCAUGUUCCAUGCCGGCCAAACGAGACCGCCCUCCACGCCGGGACGCUGACACGCUGGCCUGCCCGUCCCUUGCUCCACGUCCCGGCCUGCACGUCCCCUGCUCCGGACGGACGCACCAAACUCCACAACUUCCCGGCAUCCGACCACGGGCAGACGCAUUUUCUUCAGGUUCGCACAACUUCCCUGUCGCCAAUCAAUGGACCUGCAUUGACACAUUUCGCUCUACCAACACUGCAUACAAACGUGACUUAAUGUUAUCGUGGCUUAGAUGCCCUCUCAAAUUCUUGCUUGACUUCUUGGUUUUGUAUGCUUGGAUGUAUGUUUCAGUUCCUACAUGGUAUUUCUCAUGUGGAGUUGAAACCACAUUUGGUUGGUCCAAUAGCAAAUAAUCAUAUGUUUCACUCUGAAAUCAUAUUGCAUAUAGAGUGAUGUUAUGUUCUUGUGCAAAUUACUGCACACAUAUACAUGGAGUUACCUGAAAAAGUCUCACACUUGUAGAGUUGGCUCCUGCAAGUAACACUAUCACUCGCUUGUAGAGUUUGCAAGUGGUGAUAAUUGUCAUACUACUAGGUAACAGCCUAACUCGAAUCAGCCUUGACCUUGUAUAAUAUAUAUAGUUAUUUGGUGCAUGGUAUUUUUUAGUGAAUUUGAUCAAAACUUUGUUAUCUUAAGUACAUUUGUACUUUCAUUGUUUAUUCAAAUAAAUUUCCCAGUAAGUUGAUUUUCCAGCAUGGUCAUAACACUGACAUUAUGAAUUGAUUUGUGAAGCACAAAAACAGUGGGGAGGGCUCCUUUGUAUCCCUAGACCCACACCCACACCCGACCGCCAUCUCCCACUUUCCUCAGUAUCACGACCUGAUGCGACGUUGGCAGCGCAAUCAGUCGGAGGAGGACAGCGGUAGCGAUGACGGCUCUAUGAUGGGGAAAGGUCGCUCAUCGUCACGGCACCAGCAAUUCCACGAUCGCAUAAUACCCGCAUAUUGAUGACCUCCAGGACUCUCCGGCCUCCUCCCUCUAGGUACCUCUCCAAACCCUAACCGUCUCUGAGGUUCACAGUUUACUACUAUACUACUAUUGUUUAAUUAGAUGGUAACAUAAAACUUUGAGUGUCUGAUAGGAGUUCUUAUUCAUAGUUUGAGAUGCUAACUGGGUUCUCUCUGUCUCUCACAAGUUUGUCCUUGUGUUAUCUCUUUAUUUAUGGUACUCCCUCCAUUUCUGAAUAUAAUACCUUUUAGAGAUUUCACUAUAGACUACAUACGUAACAAAAUGAGUAAAUCUACACUCUGAAGUAUGUCUAUAUACAUCCGUAUGUAGUCCAUGAUGGAAUCUCUAAAAGGUCUUAUAUUUAGGAACAGAGGGAGUAAAACAAUGCCUAGAAUGAAGAAAUGAUGAAUUGUAUUGUACACAUCAUUGUAGUUAAAAAUUAUGUCUAAAAUCGAUCAUCACUUGGGAUGCUGCCAACUUGCAGGGUCGAUGAGACAUUAAAUUGCCAUAUUGCUUUUCCCUCUUCUUCACGUGUUAGGAAUAUAUAUAUCUUUAACAAUAGAAUUUAAUAUUUGUGGUUUCACAUGAAGGAAGAGACAAGAUCAUAUCAAUCGCCAGUGAAGGAUUCAUGUGGUUGUUGCCGUUGUGAUAAAUGUUGGUGUAGUGUAAAAUUCCUGAGCUAGACAUUAUGGUACAAUAUUAAUUUUAGGAUUGUUGCCAAUCAUACCCGUCUGUAGCUAUAUCACAUUGCAAAAUUCCAUGAACAUUUGGUCCACAUUAUUUCUCUGUUAUAUUGUUCCUACCCAAGCGUGGAUGCAGGUGGACGUGGGCGCCGCGGCUGCCACCAAGGAUGUAGGGGUCACUCUACAACCGGUGAGGAUAUGGUAGGCGCGCCAACCGCACUAUAGCCUUACAGUUUUCCUAACUUCUAUAGGUAUGCGAGGUCAAUUUAAUAUUCACAUAUAUGCUGAAAUUUUGACUUCGAAGGACCAUCACUGAAGUUAUAUGCUGAAAUUUUGACUUCGAAAAACCAGCACUAAAGUUAUAUGAAGUUUCUAGCUAUAUCAUUCUUUUUAGUACUACUGAUUAAUUCCCAUGAGUGCCAAUGGUGAGAUUUUCAGGCGUAAAUACUGGAUGUGAUUCUCAUUGCUGGCAAUCUUCAUGAACUUAUCAAGGAGAACAGUGCAAUACUAAUUGUUGCACAGGUGUUCUCAACACCGGCUAGCAACAAGACAGAAUGAUUGUUUAAUGCUCACUGUUGUGUAAGCUUGAUCCAAGAGGAGCUUCUCAAUGUUGUACAUGUAGGCCGUGAGGAACAUAAAUAAUACCUAUUUGUUCACUCUUUUCCUGUACCUAUGAAUCAUCUGCCACCGUUUAGUAGAGUUCAGUUAUGUGCUUCAAUAUUAGGAAGUCAUCAUCUUCUAAAACAUAUUGUUGCCUACUCAAACAUAUUUUGUUCCUUUUUGAUUCCAACAGAUUAUGUAUAAAAACACGUGUACAAUAAGCGGCAGAACCUGCAUUGGACCGUCCUCAUUUGCUAUGUCCAUUUUUUCCAAAGAAAUAACACUUCUGCAGUCCUACGCAUUCAGAGAUACGAUUUAGUGUGCUAUUACAAUCCUCGUAAUCGCACGCUAUAUUUUCUGUGGGAAUUUCUGUCAUCCAUUCUGAUUUUGAGGCAAAUAUAUUAGUUAAUUUUUUUUUAUUCUAGCAAGGUACCAGAUACAUGUUAUGAAAUUCUCCUUUGCCUCUUCCAGGUAACAUAGGCAGGAGGGAAUUCAUUUAUCAAUAAAAAUAAAUUUGUCUGAGGGGAUGUUAUCUUAUCUUUCCAGUAUAACCAAAUGAACACUAUGAUGAACUUAACAUCUCUCUAUCAUUAUUUCUCUAAGAUGCAAGCGAUAUAAAAUUUAAAAAGCCCGUGGCAACGCACGGGCAGUCUACUAGUAUAUAUAUGUGACUCACACAAAUAUUAUAAAAUUAUUUUUUUAAGGAAAGGUCAUUAUAACUAGCUUUAUGGGUGACCCGCGCAUUUGCGCAUCUAGAUUUUCUUUAUUUUAUAUUACAUUUGUAUUUCUUUCACGUAUAUUGUAUUUGAAUUGGUGUAGUGAUAUGCUAUUGUGUAUUUUACAUAAAAUUAAAUUUCUUUUUAAUUUCAUUAUUUAUUCUAAAUUUUGUCUGGAAAGAUAGGUUCCAUUUGGACACCAUAUGAGUCCGAUACUGCUAGCGGUCUUGAGUAUUUUAGAGGCUAGAUUAUUUUUCAAAAGAUUUCUAUCUAAUACAUAAUGAACCAAUAUGAUUUCAUUGUUUUCUUAUCAGUAGGCACGUCACUUUUGUUUUUGCCUUUCCUUCAAACAAUGACUUAGAUGGCGUGGGUUGAGUAGCCAACUGCAAGGUUAGUUAUUCUCUCGCAUUCACUGUCCUUAUAGCUUUGUUCUUACUUUUUUUAACGCGCCUACGUUUUUUUUGCAAUAAUACGUUACUUAGAAGAGUUGAACAUUCACGAAUCUCACUGCAUUGUUUGCUUUUUUUGGUACAAUAUGCUUGCUUGCGCAACAAUAACGUGUUGCUAUUGACCCAACUAUUCUUCUCAUCCAAUGCGAUAUAUGUCAUAUAUGUGGUUCUUGUACAUGUAUAUAUUCUUCGAUUCCUCCUAGUCUAAAUGUCAGUUGUGAAACCAUCUAUGACAUCCAAUUGUUUUCUUUGUUGCAUAGUCUGACAACCUAUUUGGCAUGAGUCACUUCAUCUUUUUGCUACUCUUUUUUUUCNNNNNNNNNNNNNNNNNNNNNNNNNNNNNNNNNNNNNNNNNNNNNNNNNNNNNNNNNNNNNNNNNNNNNNNNNNNNNNNNNNNNNNNNNNNNNNNNNNNNNNNNNNNNNNNNNNNNNNNNNNNNNNNNNNNNNNNNNNNNNNNNNNNNNNNNNNNNNNNNNNNNNNNNNNNNNNNNNNNNNNNNNNNNNNNNNNNNNNNNNNNNNNNNNNNNNNNNNNNNNNNNNNNNNNNNNNNNNNNNNNNNNNNNNNNNNNNNNNNNNNNNNNNNNNNNNNNNNNNNNNNNNNNNNNNNNNNNNNNNNNNNNNNNNNNNNNNNNNNNNNNUAUAAGCCAUUGUGAACCGUGUUUAUGACCCUCACUAUUUUUUAGAGGCACUCAGCUCGUCUUUCUCUGCCUUUGACUUUUUUUUUCUUGUUCUGUUAAUUGUAUAAGUCCAUGGUAUGUAGAGUAUAACCAAAGUGUUCAUAAAAAAAUCUCACACAAAGAUAAUAAAAAUUGGUGAUCACUGGACAAAAAAGAAUAGGUGAACUGAAUCAAGAAUUGGACGUAUCUUUGCUAUACACACUUCUUUACAGAACAUGUUGAUCGCUGGACAAAAGAGAAUGUCUGGUGAUCUGAAUAAAAUAAUUUUAUGUACUCUACAAAAAAAUGUACAAUGUAUAUGAAAAAAGGCAUGUGUUAAAAAAAGUACAAAGAAAAGUAAAGUAAAACAAGAAAAAGAGAAAACAAACUAAACAGAUAACGAAAAAUGAAACCCAAAAGAAACAUGUUCAAAACCAACACAGCAAACCAUUGAUAGCCGACACCGAAAAUUGAAAAGAUAAAAGAAAAAAAGGAAUCCAGAAAGGAAAAACAGAACAAAAGCAGGAAAACCCGACAAAUAAAACACACAAAUGAAAUAAUACCGCCGAAAGGUUCUAGAACAAGUCCAUAGAACCUUCCUAAAGCCCUUUUAACGGGCCAGAGGGGAGGCUACCGUAGUGUCCUGGGUUUCUUCUCCCCAAUUUUCGGAAGGAUCUAGAACGAUUUUCCUUCUUACUGCGUUCUUUCUUCAGUUUUCUUCGUUUCUUUUGUUUUUUUUUUGUCCUUUUUUUAAUUUCAUGACCUUUUUAAAAAUUCAGAACAUUUUCUCAAAAUCCAGGAACAGUUUGGGAAAAAAUACCAAAUUUUUGAUCAUUUUGCAAAAUUCAAGGACAUUUUCAAAAUCAGAAACAUUGUUCGAAUUUAGGGAGAAAUUUCUAAUUCAUGACUUUUUUUUCAAAACUUGCGGCAUUUUUAAGAAUACGAUGUGUUUUUAAAAUUCAUGGACAUUUUUAAGAACAAUUUUCCUUCUUGAGAACAUUUUCUAAGAAUAAGAUAUAUUUUCAAAAUCCCAGAAUUUUAAUAUCUCAGAAUAUUUUUCAAACUUGGUAUUUUUUCAAUAUGGUAGCAUUUUCCAUAAUACAGAAACAAUUUUCAUAUUCAUGAAUAUUGUUUAUAUCUAGGAUCAUUUUUCGUAUUCAUUAUUUUUUUUGGAAAUCCAGAACAUUUUGCAAAAUUUUGUGACCCUUUGUUAAGUUAAAAAAAAGAAACACUUUUUUUAGAAGAAUGAAAAAAAAACACUUGAGCAGCCCGCACUCACAUGAGUUGACCUAAUGCCAGUUCAAACAAACAAUUGUUUUUGAGGACCUAUCCAAGCAACAGUUACCAUACAGUUUUCCUCCUCGUGUUUGCCUAUGGGUCGGCCAAUAAGUCUUCCCGAGGAGUCAGUUUUACGAAAAUUCUAUGACCGGUUCGGACCUAUCUUAGAAGCUUCCGUGUAGUUUUCUCUCUAUGAAAUUUUUUGUUUUAGUUUUCAUCAAUUUUUCUUUCGAGUUUCGGUAUUCAAGAUUUUUUCUUUGUUUUUUUUAUUUUCCUUCUUCCUUUGUUGUUCUUCCUUUUUUUUCUUUUUCAACACAUGCCUACUUUUUCCAUUACACAUAGAACAUUUUUGUAUACAUGUGGAACAUUUUUAUACAUGUUGAAAAUUUUUCAAACACAUGAUAUAUGUUUCCAAAUAUAUGUUUUGAACUUUUUUUCAUGGCAUGAACAUUUUAUUAAAACAACGGGAACAUAUUUUUUUACAUUGUGUAAACUUUCUUUGAUAAUUUCACAAAAUAUUUUGUGUAACAUGUCACAUUUUUUAAUGGUAUUAAACACUUUUUAUUGCAAGAACAUUUUAUUUAUAUUGUACAAAUAUAUUAUGAAAUGUCACGGAGUUAUAUUUUAAACAUGUGAACACUUUCUACAUGCCACGUAUUUUUUAACGGUACAAAAUGGUUUUUACAUAGUACAAACUUUUUAAAAAAUGCCAUGAAUAUUUUGUAAAAUUUGUGAACGUUUUUUAACUUUCACGUUCAUUUUUCAUGGCUAUCAACUUUUCUUUUUCAUUACACGGUCAUUUUUUAGAAACUGUAUCAACUUUUAUUUUUCAUUACACGGUCAUUUUUUAGAAACUGUAUAAAGCCUUUCUUUAAUGUCACGAACAAUUUUUUUGAAAUGCGUAAAUUUUUUUCUUAAAUAUACGAACAUUGUUUCUGACACAGUUGACCUUUUCUUAUAUGGGAGAACUUUUUUUGACGUGCAUGAACAUUUACUUUGAAAAUCCCAAUGAAAAUAUGCAAACAAAAGGACAAAACAAUUGAGCAUUUGCUUCACUCGCCUUUUGCUUUUUUAUCGAAGUGUGUUGCUGGCCCUUUUUCCGAGAGGAAGUGUGUUACUUUUAGCGGGAUUUGCGCUUUUUGGUCUUAGUUAUCUUGCUUGGGGCAUGUCCCAGUGCCCACGCAUAGCAGGCGAAGCCGUUGUUAGGACUCACAAGAAGCGGGGCACGGCCGUAUCGCCUAACGCGAGCUGUAGCGCUCGCUCGCCUCAGGGAUCGCAGUAAAUGGGUCGGCCCAGGUAGGUAGUUCUCCCUUUUUUUUCGCAUUCUCACUUUUGCCUUUUUCUUUUUUUAUUGUCGCUUAUAUUUCGAAAAGUUCUAAAUAUAUCUAUUUUAAAAGGGAAACACUUGCCUUCAACCUGUCGAUUUCAGGUGAGCAUCUGUUGCCUUGCUGUCCAUCGGAUUGGCUCUUCAUCGAACGAUCGGGAGCCAACCGCCACCUACUCCAUAUUCAUGCAACUUCACCCAUGUUUUAGAAGGCAAGACUGCUACUAGGCCUUUGCUGCAAACCGACUAGGGGGCUAGUUCCUGCAGCGGCUGGGACUGGGGAGGGCAACGGCGGCUGGAUCCCACAACAGCAUUGUUAGAGGCCUACCGGAACGACUGGGCACAGAACCCCUACGGUGGUGAAGGCGACCAAGUUUCUGACGGUGGCGGCGUUCUGGACUCAUCUAGGUACAAAUCCAGAAACAACCGCAAACAUGACUGACCUCCACCACCAAGUUCCACUACCUGGUUGUCGACCACCAUCGCAUCGCCACCAGGAGCUCCCCGCCACUGCGCAAAUCGCCUCUGUCUGGCGUCUGCGAGCGUCGCGACCCAGCGCUGACCUCUGGCUUAACCACCUCGAACUCAUGCGUGUAGUGAAAUCCGCAUGCACCUGCCAGGCUGUGUGGCCAACAACGACGAAGUUGCAAAGGGCGAUGGCAACAAUGAUGGUGGUGUUGUGACAUCAUAUUCCAUUGCAAUAAAUUUCUACAACAUCAUCCUUCUUGCAAAAGGCCUCCUGCAACAUAUCUAUGUUGCAAAGAAAGUGAAGACAUUUUAUUUCUUCUACAACACAACCUCUGUUGCAAUGGUGAGGAAGGGGUAGGCUGUCGGAUGGUAAUAGAUCUAAUGGUUGCGGAGGCAGUGGAUCUUUUGAAAAUAUCUAUCCGUCGACGCAUAGCACUCCCCUUACAAAAAUCACUUUACAUAACGAAAUAAAUAAUGUUAGUCGUGUAUUAAAAAUGUUUAUCAUGUAUACAAAUAAUGUAAAAUGCGUAUGCAAAAGUAUCCGCAAAUAAUAUAAUUAAAAAUGUUAACCAUGUACUUAAAAUGUUAAUUAUGUGUUUUGAAAAUAUUAAACAUGUUUAAAAAUGUUUAUGAUGUAUAAAAAAUGUACAAAUGCGUAUGAAAAAAAAGACAGCAUAAAUAUAUGUGUUUUAGAAAGUUAAUCAUGUAUCUAAAAAAUUUUAAUCAUGUAUUUCAAAAUGUUAAACAUGUGUAAAAAGUGGUCCUGAUGUACACCAAAAAUGGAGAAUGCAUAUGGUAAAUGUCGACACAAAUAAUACAUGCUUAAAAAUGUUAAUUAUGUAUUUAUAAAAUGUUAAAUGUGUAUAUAGAUAAUUUUCCUGGUGUAUACAAAAAAUGUAGAAUAUGCAUGAGAAAAGUGGGCAUAAAAAAUAUAUUUUAAAAAAGGCUGAUCUUGUAUUAGAAAAAUGUUAAAUGUGUAUAUGAAAAAAUUUAAAUGUGUAUAUAGAAAAUACUCCUGAUGUAUACAAAAAAAUGUAGAAUGUGUAUGAGAAAAGUAUUUUUUAAAUGCAAUCAUGUACUAGAAAAAUAUUAAAUGUGUAUAUGAAAAAUGUUAAAGUAAUAUUAAUAAUAUUCGUGAUGUAUAUAAAAAAUAUACAAUGUAUCUGGAAAAUGUAUAUAUAAAAAAGUGUGUAUAUAAAAAAUGGAUGUAUUUAAAAAAUUUCAUGUUCUAUACAAAAAGGAAAUUAAAAAAAAGAAGAAAACCAACAAAUAAAUAUAGAAAACAAUGAAAAAUAUAAAAGAAACUGAUGAACAAGAAACAAUAAACAAAGGUUCCAAAAACCGUAAACAAAAACACAUAAAAAUUGAAAGAAAAAGCCAUAGAAAUCAGGAUUAAAAUGGUGAAAAAGAAAGUGAAACAAAGAAAAGGAUAGAAAAAUAAUGAACAUCAAAGAAAAGAAACAAAUAAAACCAAAGAAGAAAAGAAAGAGAAGGAAAAACUAGUGAAACUGAGAAAAAACUAAAGAAAACAGAAGAUAUAACGAAGAAAAAAGAAAAACGGAAGAAACUAGGUUAAAAACAAAAAGAACUGAAGAAAAAAAAGAAACAAAGAAAACCAGAUGUAAACCGAACCGACAGCGAGCGAGAAGACUGCACUACAAGGGCCGGCCCGCUCACGCUCAUCUAUAGCGAGACAACCUACCGUCUCGCUACAGGCGAGAAAUAGCUCUGGCGGUCGGCAAGAACGACAGAAGCAACCUCCUGGACAAACGGGACCACUAGUUAACGAGCGCUCCUUCGGGAGCCUCGCAACGAUCAGCGCUACUUGGCGCGCUCUCAGCCAUUCGCCACGUGUCGCAUUUCGGGCGCUCCCUUCGGAUUUUUUUAAUUUUUCCGCACGCAUUUUCGGCUAUUUAAACAGUUUUUUUCCGAGUUUUUUUCAACAUUUUGGUUUUCGACCGGUCUUCCUUAGCUUUCCGACAAAAAAAUUUUGCGCGAUUUUUUUUCCUUUCGCGAGUCAUGUUUUGCUUCUGCGAGAGGCACGGUUUUGCUUUCGCGAGAGUCACGGCCGUGCCUCUCGGAAACGAAAAAGAACGCGUUUUCUAUUUUUUUUUCCUUUCACGAGAGUCACGGUUUUGCUUCCGCGAGAGGCACGGGUGUGCUUUUGCAAGAGUCACGGCCGUGCCUCUCGAAAACGAAAAAAAACGCGUUUUCUGUUUUUUUUUCUUUCGUGAUAGUCACGUUUUUGCUUUCGCGAGAGGCACGAGCGGCCGUGCCUCAUCCGAAACGAAAAAAAUGUGUUUUCUCUUUUUUUUUCCUUCCGCGAGAGGCACGGUUGUGAUUUUGUGAGAAGCACGGGCGUGCCUCUUUAGGAAAGGAAAAAAACUGUGCUCCCGGUUCAGUUCUUUCGUCCGUUUUUUUGUGAAAAAAAGUUCGUCAAAACCUAUCAACAUGAGAUCUAGUUUUGAAGAUCUCGAUGCGAGGAAUCUAACGGUAAAAGCGGUUCGAGAUUUGGAUGCACAGUUUGAGAGAUAAAACGUUUUGAAUAAACGGAUCUAUGAAAAAAAGAGAAAAUUCCCCGGUUGCGACAAGUGACGCGUUGCACGUGCGCCACUUGUCGCAAUCUGGAAAGUUGAAGUGAUCUUUGCAACGAGUACUCCGCAAUUAGUGAUUUCGUGGAUAAACUCAUGGAUCGUGGCCUCUCCGAGCCCGCUUGUGCCUUAUGUGAGUAGAAUUCUUCAGCCUGCACAAAAUUAGGCGUGUCAGAAGUUUUGAUAAAGGACAUUUUCUAUUUAGUCAUAGUGUCCGCAUGUUUUCUGGGAAUAGAGGAGUACGAAGUGAAAAUUAUGGAAUGAAUAAAGCAUUUCUUGUUGUGUUCUGUUGUUUGUAUUGGCCCUCGUAGUGGGUAUAUAUAGUGUACAGUGGGGGAGAGGGACUUAAAGUACAAGGUAGGUAACGCGUGAUUAAAUCAAUUCUAUCUCUAUGUCUUCUUAUAUUUAACUGAACCCAAUUAUACCUCUAGCAUUGGGACUAAGUAAAAAGUUGUUGUAGAACAUAGCUUAAUUUUUUAAGAAAGAGAGUGUAUAGUGUAAAAUCAAUAAAAUGUAUGUAAUCUAAUAAGAGAAACAACUUGCAUGCUUAUAAGUAUUAGGAUAUAAUCUAUACCGAAAAGAAGCUACCUUUUUUUACAACAACUAGGAUGAAACCCAAAGUAGUACUAUGCAAGGACUACAAUAGUCAAGAAAAGAAAGAGGUAGGUCACAUCAACAUUGUGAUCUGUAGUCAGCAUGCAUGCAAAAAAAGGUGGGAUUUCCUAAGGGAAAAGGUGUUGGGUCAGAUGACUACAAAAUCCAACAUUCGGGUGCAUAGUUUAACAUAAAGAUUCUUGCUACUGGUGAAAGCUCUUGGCACUGUCGCGUGCUGGCUUGGCUUUUUGGAAACAGUAGUGCACUGUUCUUGGAAGCUGCCGAGCUUCCAACUGGCCACCAAACAUUGAUGCACAUGCCCAGCUUCCAACUCUAUGACCAAACAACUGUAACACCUACCAUUAUUAGUAUGUAGUGUUGUGAAAUGUCAUAUGUUGGGAGGGAAAUAUGUAAUUUUAUUUUAUUUAGAUAUAAUUAAAAUUCUAAUAUUCAUUAACUUAGUUUCUUUAAGGUAGAUCGAUACACACAGCGAGGAGGUCAAAAUGUUUCCGGAGAAACGUAUACAUACAUGGAAAAAAAAUACUAAAUCUGCUAAUUUCAAGAUAUUUCCUGAGAGCAUUUUAAUCUACGUAAAGACCGAAGUAGCAAUAUAAUUAAUUGUUUGUAGAAGUGCAAUGUUAUUUUUUACAUUUGAAACAAGGAAAACAAUCCGCUCCAGUUCUCCGAUCUUUAUCUUCAUGAAAUUAAAUAAGUUCUAGUCUGAGCAAUGAAGAGCGUACUAAGUCCUGAGAAACAUGUACAAUUCUCGGCUAGGUCGGCUUAUGCGGCCAAGUUCGCGACGAUGGAGGUCUCACCUACCACGGCAUUCUCUUGGAGUUCCCGAGCGCCAUUAAGUUGCAGGUUCUUCGCGUGGCUUGCAUUCAAAGACAGAUGCUGGACUUCUGACUGGUAGGGCAACGGGGACUUCCGCACCAAGUCGGCUGCCCUUUCUGUGACCAGCAUGACGAGAACAUUAGUCACCUUAUUGCCGGCAAUGUGUUUGGCAGAGAGGUCUAGACCAAGGUUUUCACUGCUUUGGGAUUGGUGCAAGGUGUGCCCCCAUGGUGGAUGAAUCUAUUGAGGGUUGGUGUGCUAGCCAAGGGCAGUUUGGGCUACAGACGAAGACGAUUCGUGCUAUCGGGAUCCUAGUCAUGUCGGUUGAGGGUGCAACGCCUUGCGUGCAGCAGGUUUUAUGAGGUUUUGCGAGUGAGUGCAUUGUAUGGAACCAAGCGGGUUUUAUGAGGUUUGCGAGUGAGUGCAUUGUAUGGACCAAGCGGGUAUUCUGCAUGGUGAGCUCGAGUCUUUCCUGGCGUUAGUUAGACGGUGGGAGUUUAGGGGAAAUACCCAAUGGUACAUUGGUAUACAGUGACACAGCAGAUUCCGGGGGUUAGUAGUUUAUGCAGGGCCUAAAUGUUCGUCAGGCUAAAGGAUUAAUGGAUAAGAUCAAUCGAGGCAUGAUCUACUGCUCAUGUCCAGAGCAGAGACAACUAUUUCCCAUCCAUGCACUUACCAUUUUAGGUGAACGUAAUACUUUCCCCUCAAUUAUUACAAAUUAGUCUUGAAAAAAAAUCAUUUUAACAAAUUAAGUAUGGAAUCCCAUUUAAUAAAACUGUUAAGAGUAUAAAUCCACCUUGCGACCAGUAAAUAUUUUCACGAUGUACAUAAUCACUUCUAAUAAAUAUAUUUGAAUUAUAAAAAAUAUGGCAACAUCAUUUUCUCAAUAAAAAAGCUUGUACAUUUUUUAUCUUAGAAAGAUCACUAUUCUCAAACUAAAUUAUAACGUGCAAACAAUUACUUUCUCAGUUCAAUAAUAUAUUAAUUACUUUGUUCAUCAUUAACUGCAGAAAAAAAACGCCAAGGUACUCGCUUUUACGGAAAUAUAGUCACAAGCAUAAUUCCUGCCAGGCAAUGCAGAUGCAUUUAACUAGCUACUGCUUAAAACAUCCCACCAUCCAUGUUAUAUAUUACAUUUUUCCUUCAACCGUUUUGACAGCUACUAAAUCAUUCCCUCUGGAUUGGACUGACUAGGCAUUUAGGCGGCACACCAAUAUUUCCAUCCAUCGUGAGCACCAUGUGGACAAUGUAUUCCCAUAUCUUCCUCAACCCAUCCUGUAUAUGUUACAAAUUUGAGUAUUUUUGGUAACAUAAUUAAACCAAAAUUAUGAAUCUAUGUCCUACCUUACUACAUCCUUAUGCCAGACCAGACCCCAUGUAAUUCAUAAUGCAGUGCAGCAUGUAGAAUGAACUGUCGAAUCUGCCAGGAAAAAAGAUUCGAAUAAUUAAUGGUAUAAAUAUAUCACAUGUUCAUUUGCGAAUUCAGUUAGUACCUGUUGUUACCAGUACCACAACAGCCUGCUUUACUGCUUGCAGACUUCUAAUGGGCAAGAAUCCUUAACAAGAUAUAUCGGGUGACAACUACUCAACCCAUCCCCAGUGAACAAAUCUCUCUUAUCGGGCUCCUGUGCAGAUCUAGGAGGAUCUACCACAACCUGAUAUUUUUUCGAACAUGUUACUCAUGAAACAGAGCUAUGUCUGUAAUCAUGUCUAAUAUCCAAAUCAACGAGACAUAAAUUUCUGACCUUUGAUGCAGACGGUUCCACCAUUGCAUCCACCACCUUGAGCUUCCUUCUGCUCCCUUAGCCACUGAAUGCCUGUUUGCUUGACUUGGGAGGAGGACUAUGUUCAGAAUGAUGGAUGGAUUCAAUGUUCGCUGUAGCUUUAGACUACCCAUAAUGGGAGUAACAUAGGUAGUAACAUCACCCAUAUCUAGAUAAAAUAGAUGAUGUGGCAAGCAAUAAAUGAAGAGAGAGAGCAAAGUGGUAACAUAGCUAGUUACUAGUAGUAUGAGUAACAUCACACAUAUUAAGACAAGAUGAGUCUAUAGCUUAAUAAAGAAAGUGUCGCAUGUUACUACACAUAUGUUACUCCCCACUAUAAAGGUAAUAACAUAGACUAGUAACAUAUGCAUGUUACUAGUCUAUGUUACUACCCAUUGUGGCUAGUCUUACCCAAACAAUUCCACCGACGCCCCAAUUCAAUGAUGACUAACCAACCACCAGAAUUUACUAUCCUUCCAUUUUGUUACUGACCAAACUAAAUAGUGCUGGAUUAUGCUUUUAAUAAUAAAAAUAGUGAUUACAUACAAACGUUAACAGCAUGCAUGCAACAGAGGUUUUUUUCUUCUUUGUUUCCACAUAAAUAAUUAAAACUUUUUUUCCGUCACGACAUCAUGUUAUUGCAUGUAUCAUGUUUGGAAAGUUUCUGUCCUUUGGAUGUUUAAAAUAACACACCUUGCCAAAGUAUUAACCUUGUCUGAACCGCAGGCAAAUACAUGAUGGGUGCUAACAAAGUGUAGUUUGUCCGACUGCUAACAAAGUGAAGUUUCAGCCACUGCUCUGACAGAGACAUAUGGCGUGCGCAGAGUUUGCGUGUCCCAGCUCCACUGCAUUUAACCAUACGGAAGGCGAACCGCGUUGGGAACCUGCUGUGGAUGCUGUACCAUCCUGUUCUAGGCCUCGUACAUGACUGUUCUGCAGGUGUAUACUCCUUUAUCCAACUUUGGGUCCACACCGUAUAAAGAAAAACACUACUACCUCCGUCCCGGUGUAUAAGUCAUUCGCGUAGUUCUAGGUCGAUAAUUUAACUAUCUGAAUAUGUAUUAUAUGUGACAAAAAAUAUAUAUUUAGAAACUACAUCCGUGUGGAAAUCUAGUGGUAUACUUUUCAUGACAUAUAAUACAUAUUUAAUUCCUCAAAUCGAUGACCUAGAACUACGCGAAUGACUUAUACACCCGGACGGAGGGAGUACUUUAACUACACAUCGUGAUGCACUUACUGACGAAUAGGAUACCGGGGACAUAUGUCCCCAUAGACCACAAAUUCGCCUCCGGGAGUCUAGCGAGUAGUCCAGUUAGUUCCGUUUUUCGUGGAGUGGUUGAGGCUUGCAUUUAAUAUUGUUAUGUAAACUCUACUGUGGUGGGGCUCUUCCCUCUUUUUCUUCUAUAUAAUAGAUGAUACGUACACUCAUGCGUAUUUGAGUAUAAAAUAAUUGGUCCGAAAAAAUAACUAUGACAUAGCCGCGGUUAAAUAAACAGUUGACGCUUGGGAUUAAUCGUCACUCCACACUUGAAACCACAAAAAUCACAACACCUCUACACCAAAGAACAGAAGCCCUCACUCUCCUCUCGCCGUUGAAUAAUUAGGUGCAUUUUGUACAGAACCACAUGAGCACAAAGCCAAACCAACCUUUUCUAACUGACCAGUAAUAAUCACUCACUGUCCUGCGGCUUGGGGAACGGCACGUUCAUAUACUUGUAGGUGGUGAACCCACCGUCCACAACCAGGUUGUGGCCGGACACGUACUUGCCGUCGUCGGAGGCGAGGUAGACGGCAGCCCUGGCCACGUCCACCGCCUCGCACGCAGCGCCCUUGAGCUCGCCGAGACUCCGGAUGAUGGCCGUCACCGUGGCCUCGUCGGCGCCCUGGAGCAUCUGCGAGAACUGCCGCACCACCAUCGGCGUCGCGACGGCGUGUGGCGAAAUGCAGUUGACGCGGACGCCGUGACGGGCGAGCUCCGCGGCGGCUGUCCUGACGAUGCCGGCGAUGGCGAGCUUGGAAAGCGAGUAGGGAUACGAGCCAAGGCUCCCCAUGAUACCACUGAUGCUGCCCAUGCAGAGGAUGGAGCCGGAGCCCGCCGGCGCCAUGACGCGCGUCGCGUGCUUGAUCCCUGCCAGAGUGCCGCGCAGGUUCACGCGCAUGAUGUCGUCGAACUGGUCCAGGUCCAGGGUUGCCAUGUCCGAAGUGCCGGAGAGAGAUCCCACGAUGCCGGCGCUGUUGAACAUGACGUCGAGCCGGCCGUGCCUCGCGACGGCGGUGUCCACUGCCCCGGCCACGCUGUCCUCGAGGACGACGUCGCAGUGGACGAAGUGGGCCUGCGGGCCGAGUUCCUCGGCUGUUUGGAGGCCCAGCUGCGAAUUGAUAUCGGCGAGAACCACGCAUGCGCCCUCUUGGAUGAACUCAUGGGCUGUGGCCUUACCCAGCCCACUUGCUCCUCCGGUUAUCAGUGCAGUCUUUCCCUCCAGCCUGCACAAAAUUAGAGGGAAUUUGCAUGUUAGACUAAAAAAAAGAGAUGAAAUUUGCAUGUUUUCUUGGGGACUGAUUGAAAAAUUCUGGAGACUAGAGUUUAUGUUUUUUUUUGCGAGAAGAACUUCCAGAUAGCAUGGAGACGAUUUUUGGACAAGCCAAUCAAUGACCGGUAGUUCAACGAAUAUUAAAAAUGAUAAAAAUUACAUCAAGAUCCAUAGACCAUCUAGCAACGACUGCAAGCACUGAAACGAGCACUGCUAUGGACAUGAUAGCGUGGAGACGAUUUUUGGAUGACAAGCCAAUCAACCCGUCCAUGCAUCACAACAAAUGGCAGCAUAUUGUCCAUAUUGUUUGUCGUGUGCACAAUAAUUCCGUGUAUCAAAUAUAACCUUUUACUACUAAAUGUGAAGUGGGAUGGACAUUAAACCAUAUCCCUCCUUCCAAAAUAGAUGACUCAACUUUAUAUUAACUUUAAUACAAAAUUAGUACAAAGUUGGGUCAUCUAUUAUGGAACGGAGGGAGUAUUUUUAAGAGCCAGACCAGACAUUCGGUUUGAAUGGAAAAAAAGCCAAAACUGGCGCCUUUUCAGAUUCUUUACAGACCGGGACAAGGAGGCCAGCCCAAAAAUUUCCAGUAAGACCAUCAAUUUUUAAAAGAGCUGGCGCGCUCGAACCAGACGGCUCUACGGCACAUUGGGGGUCGUCCUAUAAAUGUUGCUAAAAUUAGGUGGCGUGAAUGGGACCAAUUGGACUUUUAGUUCAGCAUAGUGGCUAGUUGGGCUAGCUUGUCUUCUUGAGCACACACAUAUUUGACUGUAUUUCUCUAAAAAAAACAUAUUUGACUGUAUUUGUCCACUUAAAAAAAUGACUGUAUCUGUACAUUUUCCUAAUGAGAUUGAAUCCAAAAAAACCCGCCUAUGGGACAAGUGAAAACAUGAAUCGACAGCUUCACUAGUUUGGUCGUCGGUCCGGUUUUUUAAAAUAUGAAUUAAAUUAACAUGAUGUAACAAGGUAAAAUCAAUAGAAUGUAUGUAGGCUACGAAGAGAAAUAUAGCGUGCACGCGUACAAGCACCAGGGCAGAUAUGCAGUUACUCACACAAAAGAAGCUGCCAUCUUUUUUUGUUCGAGUUAGGCAUCUUUUACAGCAAUAAGUAUGAUUCCCACAGAAAAAAAGCUAGGAUGAAAUCUGAUUUGAUAUGCAUGGAGUCAAACAGUGAAGAAAAGAAGGAAAAAGGAGACACGGACAAUCGUGAUCUGUCUGAGAAAGUGAUCAGCAUGCAUGCAAAAAAAGGUAGGAUUAUCUAAGGGAAAAGGUGUUGGGUCAUACGACUACAAAAUCCAGCAUUCGCGCG
This 18243-nucleotide long non-coding RNA is filed under the name Triticum aestivum (bread wheat). Its description in RNAcentral is "long non-coding RNA (TAES_LNC024198)". Lineage: Eukaryota; Viridiplantae; Streptophyta; Magnoliopsida; Poales; Poaceae. The record is from RNAcentral.